GAGGGCCCGGUUUCCUCUGGC
This 21-nucleotide microRNA is filed under the name Monodelphis domestica (gray short-tailed opossum). RNAcentral describes it as "mdo-miR-7325-5p". Lineage: Eukaryota; Metazoa; Chordata; Mammalia; Didelphimorphia; Didelphidae. The record is from miRBase by way of RNAcentral.